AUUGAACGCUGGCGGCAGGCCUAACACAUGCAAGUCGAACGGUAACAGGAAACAGCUUGCUGUUUCGCUGACGAGUGGCGGACGGGUGAGUCAUGUCUGGGAAACUGCCUGAUGGAGGGGGAUAACUACUGGAAACGGUAGCUAAUACCGCAUAACGUCGCAAGCCCAAAGAGGGGGACCUUCAGGCCUCUUGCCAUCGGAUGUGCCCAGAUGGGAUUAGCUAGUAGGUGGGGUAACGGCUCACCUAGGCGCCGAUCCCUAGCUGGUCUGAGAGGAUGACCAGCCCCACUGGAAAUGAGACACGGUCCAGACUCCUACGGGGGGCAGCAGUGGGGAAUAUUGCACAAUGGGCGCAAGCCUGAUGCAGCCAUGCCGCGUGUAUGAAGAAGGCCUUCGGGUUGUAAAGUACUUUCAGCGGGGAGGAAGGGAGUAAAGUUAAUACCUUUACUCAUUGACGUUACCCGCAGAAGAAGCACCGGCUAACUCCGUG
RNAcentral lists this ribosomal RNA (490 nucleotides) under uncultured bacterium. RNAcentral's name for it is "partial 16S ribosomal RNA". It matches the Rfam family "Bacterial small subunit ribosomal RNA", at positions 30 to 507 of the family's 1533-position model. The record is from RNAcentral.